CUCACUUGGUAGCCCAGGCUGGCCUCGAACUCACAGAGAUCCGCCUGGCUCUGCCUCCCGAGUGCUGGGAUUAAAGGCGUGCGCCACCACCGCCCAGCUCAACAAGGUAGACUUUUAAAGAUGUUAAAUGAUUAUGGAAACAUUUAGGACUAUUUGCCAGGUACUUACUGUUUUGUGUGUUUAAGUUCUCAAAAUAACCAACCAUAUUAAGGUUUUUUUGUUUUUUUUUAAAGUGGUACUAGGGAGUGGACCCAUGGUCUCAUGAUAAGCAAGUAUUUACAUUAAGUCACAUCCCCAGUCCAAAAAUACAUAUUUUAGUUCAUUCCAUGGAAUAAAAAUUGAGACACGUUGGCGAUUAAGUAAAAAGGCUGGAAAGUGAUGUUGGUGAAUCCAGAAUUUAACCCAAGUAGUGUAACUUCAAUUAUAUGAAGAAUUGUAUGUAUUAUGUGUAUAGGUACGUAGAGGUGGAGGGCUGUGUGUACCACAGUUCACACAAGUCAGUUUUCCCUUUGACCAUGUGGGUCCCAGGAUGGAACUCGGUAACCUUUAUCCAUUGAACCAUCUCACCGACCCUACCUUCAGAGAUUCACACUUAACCUUUUGUCUUUUUUGAUGUGUAAUGUACAUGUUUGUAUGUGCAUGUGGAGGCCAGAGGACACCCUUGGGAGCUAUUCCUUAAGACCUGCCUUUUUUUUUGAAAGCCCUACUGGCUUGGCUCUUGCCUGGUAGGCUAGACUAGCAGGCUAGCAAGCCCCGCCUCUGUUCUCCUGGACUUAUAAGCAUGCACUACCAUGCUGCUUUUUUUCUACUUGGGUUCUUGGCAGGGUAUUGAACUUAGAUCCUCUUGGCAAACCCUUCAGUAAUCUCCCAGUCUAUAUCUUUUUUUUAUCCUUGUCUCUUCCAUAUUUAAAAUUCUAAGUAUUCCAGAGCAAGAUAGCCUCUCUCGGAGGAGCUGAUUUGUAGAAAACCAGAUAUGGCUUACAGGAGAAAAUGUCAGGUUUGGAGUCAGUUCAAUAGCCAAGUUCACAGUAGGUGACAUUGAACUGUUCAGCAAUCAGCUUCCCAGUAUCUUGGUGAGGUGUAAACAGUACCAUUUCAGUUCUGCAUAUGGAGAAACUGAGCAGUUGAUAUAGGUCAAAUCGCAUAGGUGGAAAUACAUGCAAGUCAAGCGAGACUUACUAGAGGCAUAAUCCUUGAGCACUCGGCACUGCUCUUAGUUUGAAGAGCGCCACAUUUGGUGAUUUUAUUUUUAAGAAAAUCAAUUCACCUGAAAGCAUUGGACCAAAGGAAUUUAGAUUUCUCAUGUAGUGUCAUUAAAGCUCUGAUACUUACUGGGCUGUCCAGAUCGACAGGUGAGUUCCUUUUGAAAUAGGGUCUUGUAUGUUCCAGGGUGGUCUGGAACUCCCGAGUGCGGGGAUUAUGGGCAUGCGUCAUCACAUUCAGCUAAAACUUCAGAUGACUUUAUGGCUUCACAUUAAAAAGUCAAAAUUAAACAGUGGGUAAAUGUUGGGUUUCGCUAGGAGUGAGCUGACCCAAGGGGAAAGACCAGGAGUAGAAAAGAAAGAUGGAGUAACUCAGGUUGUAUAUACAUAGUAUAACUUUUUAUGUGUUGUAAUCUUUGGGAGGUCAACAGCAGGAAAAUGAAGUAUGUACCAACAACUAGAAAUUCCCAAAUCCCUGGCUGCCCUAGAGUGAAUCUGCCUACUAUACACCUCUUCUCUCUGAAAAGUUUUGUUUUUGCAACUGUAAGCUGGCUACUUUCAAAAGUUUUAGGUUAAACCGUGAGCUGCUAGGUCUAGUAGUACACGCCUUUAAUCCCAGCAUUUGGGAGGCAGACACAGGUGGAUCUCUGAGUUCGAGGCCAGCCUGGUCUAUAGAGGGAGUUCUGGGACAGCCAGGACUCUGGAGAGACCCUGUCUCAAAAAACCAAGUUUCUUGUUUGUUCCAACAAUAAAGAAAUAGACUGACCAUCUAUGCAAUUAAAGGACAACCCACGACAAAUGACACUGUGAUUUGUAUUCCACUCAGACUCCAGCAGUGGUGCUUCUGACAAACCCUUGGAAGAGGAGUGGUCUGGAUGUGUACAAACCUUGGCUCGGACCAUAAUAAAAGAAAGUAUUUAAUGGCUUUUAUGAUUCGAAACAUAGUUUUACCUUUUAUUUUUACAAUACAGUGUGCAGUAUGACAUCUCAAGAUAACGAGUGGAGGACAAGACAGUCCUAAGGGAGGUCAACAACGAAUGUCAGAGUGAUUACCUUCAUGAAGGAGAAAUCCCUGGUUAAUAUUUUACACAUUCACAAAAAUUACAUUCAAAUCAUUCCUUGUCAAUAUUUACUCCUUAGGCCACGAGAGAAGGAAAACAAUCCAUACACUAGAUUUUCAUAGAAAAAAAAUCUGGACCAGUCUAAAUACUAAUGUCCUAUUUGUUCUUACAUUGGAAAAUUUAAAUGUUUGGGUUUCCCAAGGACAUGUCAUUAGCUGAUACUAUCUACUUUUGUUUCUGAGACAGGGUCUCAUGUGGCUGAUGGUAACCGUGAGCUGCUGAUCCUUCUGCUUUCACUCUCCCAAGCGCUGGGACUACAGCCAUGAACCCCCAUGCUGGGUUUCUGUAGUGGCUGGGGAUCUAGCCAGGGCUUUGUGCAUGUUAGGCAAAACUCGAUCAACUGCCAACCACAAUACAGUUUCCAAUCAACCACAGAGGGAUGGGAAAUCGAAUUGGCCUUAAUACCGUACAAUUAUAUGUAUAACAAAGCUUUUUUUUUGUGUGUGUUUUUUUUUUUUUUUUUUUUAGCAUAGCUUAACUUUUCAUUGUUUAGGGACUAUGUUGAGCAUUAGUACAUUCAUAAUCACUAGGAUUUAGAAAAGUUCAGGACAUAUACUAUCCAUCUGUGGAUAUGAGUAAAGAGAACUACAGGAUCUCACUGACCUUGAAAAUCACAGUCUAAAAGGAGGCAUGGUGGCAUGGCACGUGCCUAAGUAUAGGCUCUGCCGGUGAAGGUCCUGUGUUUGAGUCUUGAUAGCACAUGGCCCCACUGUCCCCAGUGGCACUGACACUACUUAAAACUUGACUCAAAUCCAACAAUAUUUUUUGUCUUUUCUUUCUUUCCUUUUGGAGAUAGAGUCUCAUGUAGCUCAGGCCAGCCUUGAACUCUAGAUCUUCCUGCCAGGGUUACAGGUGUGCACCAAGUCUCAGUCAGUAUUUUCAGUCAGUAUGCAGAUCACAAAGCUCUACUGACCACUGACUACCCUUUCAUUCCUGAGGAGAAAACACAGUGGAAAACUGAAAAGAUUUCAUCUUUGAAGUGCUGAGUAUCAAUUGACCUUCAAUGCUGACAAGGAUGUGGACUUUGCAUUUUUCCUGCUGUAAACUGGAAGUGUUCAGAUUUGAAACUGUACAGCAUUCCUUCCUUCAACCCAAGAAUGUUCCUUUAUUCCUAAGGAAAAUCAUUUAAAAAAUAUUUCUAAAUAGACACACUUGCCAGCCAACCACAAAAGGCAUGCAAAAACUGAAUAUAAAAAGACAUCACAAGCUCUAAUUUGUUCCAAUAAGAUUAUCUAGAAGAGAAAUCAGACACACAGACGGCACAGACAGACAUCAACAACUGCUGGUGCUGAGUGACAAUUCAGUAUCAUUCCAGUGUUUAGCUUUGGGAACAUGAACUGCUGUAGCAAAAUAAAAUCAAGACAUUCACAUUGUCACACAUCACACUUUGCUUAUAGGCUUGAGAAGACUACAAGUUAACUGUCCAUGCAGAUUUGUAGACACUGCAUUUUAAAGCUGUAGCUGUAGAAACAGUACAAAAAUCCUAUUAGCGUCAUUUAAGAUUUAGCAAGCUGUUGUAUACCGGUCACAAGGCAGACCUUGUUAGGACAAAAACUUGUCUGUACAUGCUUAAAUAAACUUUCCUCCAAUGUCCUUUUCUAAAAUGCUCGAUAACUUUUUAAGUCUUCCAUCUGAUCUCAAAGUUAGUUGUCAUGGUAUUCCCUCAGUGUAUAAAAGUGUAUUCCAAUGCUGAAGGCAGCUAUUUAUUAGUCCAUUAAAUAUUAGUAUACAGUACAGCAGAUUUCCAGUUUGAUACUUACAUACAUAGCACAGUCAUAGGUAAAAUUCUGAACUCUGAUAUAAAAAUGCAGAAACUGUCAAAUGUAUUAUAUCUUUCCAUGGAAAUAAAAAACUAUUUCCAUCACAAGGAAGAAACUUCAAUGGUCAACACAGUUUAUACGAAUUCUUGUAUCAGAGAAAGGAAUCAAGGCUAUCAAAUCACCACAAUUUACUAAAAGAAUUUAGAAAAUUCUAUCUUAAAAAAUGUCAGCAUCUUUUGUAUACUUUUAACUACACUAGAGGCUACUGAGUGUGCAUUUUCAUCCACAAAGUCCGGACUAAAAAGUUGGUUCUUCUCUUUUUAUUUUUGUUUUUUUGAGACAGGGUUUCUCUGUGUAGCCUUGGCUGUCCUGGAACUCACUCUGUAGACCAGGUUGGCCUUGAAAUCAGAGAUCCGCCUGCCUCUGCCUCCUGAGUGCUGGGAUUUAAAAGCAUGCCCUGCCAUGUCCAGCAAUGUUGGUACUUCUGAUGGAAUGUUUUUUUUUAGAAUGAUAAGACAUAAAAUUAACUUUAAAAGUUACUACAAACUAAAGCGGCAUUUUUUUCUUUUUAAGAGAAAUAUUUCUGAUGACUAAAUCAGUCGUUUAAGAAAAUACUGUUAUCCCCAGUGCACAGAAGCACAGCCCCUUCUCCCAGUAAUCCCACAAAGUCAUUUAAGUGUUAAAUAAUGUUAAUAUCUGUUACUCUGUGAGACAUGGAGUAUUAUGUAUAUACUAUACCAGUUUUGUCAUUGACAUCUGACUGAGAAGCAGAGUCAGGAAGGUGAAAACAAAAGGUUUCACCAGGAUAAAUCAGAAAUGCUCUGAAGAAAGUUUCCAUUUUAAAUCUCCAAACAAGCCAAGGAUCCCUAAAGCCAUGCACAGGAAGUAAGAGUGUUGUGUACAAACUGCCUAAGGGACCUUUCUCACUAGUUUAAGAGAUCUACAAAUGGGUCAGCUGCUUAUUCUGCCUCCCUCUACCUUAUCUCAGCAUUGAAGCCAUCUUCCUGUUGGUGGUUUGCCAAAUAAAGUUCACCAUGAUGACACAGAAUAGAAUAGCUGUUUCCUUCACCUUAGCCAAGUAGAUGGCACCCACUGAGGUUCAGUGUCCAGUUUGUUAAUGAGCCUAAGCAGUUCCUGAUAGGCUUUAUCAAGAUCUGAAUUCACAAUCGCAGUGUCAAAGUAGUGGCCAUUGUUCUGUUCCAUCUCCCUAGUCUUCUCAAUGAUCUCCCUUAACUCUUCAGGCUGCAAAGAAAAAAAGGAAGACAGUGAGGGAGGUUACACAGAAUACACAGUGAGUCAGGAGUGUCACUAUAUGGCUUCCUCUGUCUGUGGCAGACCCCAGAGCUCCUUCCCGACCCUUCUCUUGGAUCACCUUGGCAUCAGUAUCUCCAGAAUUGUGUUUGAAUCCUGGCUUAUAGCACUUUCGUUUUCAUUUAUUUCCAUUUCAUCUUUAUGUCUGAAGAACACGGGCAAUUACUUUGAAUUCCCUAAAAACUUUCAUUUUCAAACAUUUCAGAGCAUAAUAACCUUUAUCUAAAAGUAACAUUGUGGGCUGGAGAGAUGGCUCAGCAGUUAAAACACUACUUUUCUUACAGAGGACCCAGGUUCGGUUCCCAACACUCACAUGACAGAGUUCACAACCAUCGGUAACCUCUGACUGUUGCGAAAAGGGGAAGUGCUGUGGAUAUCACCCUAUAUAAAUAAAACACUGAUGGCCAGUGACCAGACAGGAAGUAUAGGCGGGACAAGGAGAGAGGAGAACUGGGGAAACAGGAAGAAGGAGAGACACUGCAGCCACCGACAGGACAAGCAGCAUGUAGAAGCCGAUCAUGUUCAAAAACGAAGAGAAGAAAAACCAAAACAAAGCUCGGGUAAAAAGAAGACAAUUCUGGAACCCUGAAAAUGUGGACUAGCUAAGGAGAAAAGUGGGUGAUUGCCAAGGGUUUGCUGAGACCUUUGAACGGGGAGGAAGCAGCAAUAUGAUCCCCUUGGAAAUGUCAGACCUUUCUCGAGAGUACACAAGUUUUAAGGGGUUCUGGAGGCUCUCAUAGAUCUGGGGUUAGCAGAAGGGAUAGGGGAGACAGGAGCAGCCCUCUGAUUUGGACAGCUGCCAUGGUCCAGAGGGCUGCAGCUGCAGCAGUUUCGGGGCAAGUGAUAUAGAAAGAAUAAUCAGCUUGAUAGCUGAUGCUGAUACAGCUUCUCAACUCCAGGAGGAAAGACGAGGGAGAUUUCCUGCUUGACGUCAGUGGACUGAUAGAGCACUGUGACAAGUUUACCUUUGGAUUCUUGCCUUCUUUGGCUAACAAUGCCCGAAGUCUUUCUUGUGAAGGUGGUGCAAUGAAGAUGAUAUAUGGUUUCAAAUCCGAAUUCCGGAGGGUCUUCAAAGACUGUAAAGAUAUUUGGGUUUUAGAAAUAACUCCCAUCAUGGAACUACUUCUCAAUAAUAUAUAUUGUUAAGAUGUCUAUAAAUAUUUCCAAGCAUUUUACCAUAAAUCGUACCCGUAACAUUCUGAGAUAGUAUCUUCAUUCACUGUAAAAGUAUAAAUAUAAAUUCACAUAUAUUAUGUAAGCCUAGUGUUCUAUAUACUGAAAUAGAGGUAAAAGACAUUGAAGGGAUUACAACUGUAUAAUAAAUCACGUGGAUUAUAAUAACCAUAUUAAAAUUCAUUUUUGAGGAAUCAGAAUCCGGGCAGUUGCCUUUCUAGGUGAAGCAAAACCAGAGAGAAAAACUUCCUAUACACAGGCCAAAGAGACCCAGGACAAGACAGAUUGUUUGCAGUCAGACACGGGACUCACACUGUCCUAUCACUGCACUGCUGGGCACGUCAAGUUGAGUACUCUAACCAGCAGUAUUAGACAGACACGCCCUUUCUUAUGUGAAGAAGCAUUAACAUGCUCAACUAUUUUAAGUCUUAUGGUAAUAUCUGUUAAUCCAAAUAAAGAAUUCUAAAAGAAA
This is a non-coding RNA of Peromyscus maniculatus bairdii (prairie deer mouse), 7039 nucleotides long. The record is from RefSeq and is a predicted model, not a curated record. NCBI's taxonomy places the organism in Eukaryota, Metazoa, Chordata, Mammalia, Rodentia, Cricetidae.